This is a non-coding RNA of Gossypium arboreum, 114 nucleotides long. NCBI's taxonomy places the organism in Eukaryota, Viridiplantae, Streptophyta, Magnoliopsida, Malvales, Malvaceae. The record is from Rfam.
AGUUAAAAUUUUCAGCCAUUUUUAAUGUUAAAAACUGGCGUGGUUGAUGGAAUAAUCAGACAGCUCCACAUGGUAUCCAGUUUCUAACAGUAGAAAUAGAUAAAAAUUUUAACA